Molecule: ribosomal RNA, 484 nt
Filed under: uncultured bacterium
Lineage: Bacteria
Description: partial 16S ribosomal RNA
Rfam family: Bacterial small subunit ribosomal RNA
Source: RNAcentral
AAUGAACGCUGGCGGCAUGCCUAACACAUGCAAGUCGAGCGAAUGAAGGGGGCUUGCUCCUGGAUGCAGCGGCGGACGGGUGAGUAAUGCCCAGGAGUCUGCCAGAUCGUGGGGAAUAGGGUCCGGAAACGGGAGCUAAUCUCGCAUACGACCAGAGAGCGAAAGUGGGGGAUCUUCGGACCUAACGCUAUCAGAUGAGGCUAGGUGGGAUUAGCUAGUUGGUUGGGUAACGGCCUACCAAGGCGGCGAUGCGAAACUGGUCUGAGAGGAUGACCAGUCACACUGGAACUGAGACACGGUCCAGACUCUUACGGUGGGAAGCAGUCGGGAAUCUUGCGCGAUGGGCGAAUGCCUGAUCUAGGAAUGCCGCGUGAGUGAUGAAGGUCCUCGGAUGGUAAAGCACUGUAAGUUGGGAGGAAGUACAGUUAUUUUAUCCGUGACUAUCUUGACGGUACCGACAGAAUAAGCCCCGGCUAACUUCGUG